Long non-coding RNA from Hylaeus anthracinus, 3553 nucleotides. RefSeq lists it as uncharacterized. Lineage: Eukaryota; Metazoa; Arthropoda; Insecta; Hymenoptera; Colletidae. The record is from RefSeq and is a predicted model, not a curated record. The transcript is spliced from 3 exons.
UACACGCUCGACCCAGGUGCAACUUCGGAAACCUUGGAAGGCGUGCGUGACAAUGCGCGUAUAGCGCGUGUGGGAUUCGUCGUGACGUGAAAGUCGCUUGCGAGAAAAGAAAAGUACGGCUUCUCUCCCAACGGAAGAUGACGUUCUUGCCCCCCUCCCUCUGGAACCGCAAGAAAAAUGAAAAAAUAAAUCGAUUAAAUUCUCGAAUAUAUUUACGUUCCGUAGUUUCAUUUUUCUUUUAAGAAACACAAUUUAACGACACGGUACUUUAUAUGAAAUAAAUAGCUAAAACGUGUCCACGAAAUAUAUACAUUUUUAUUUACAAUCAUGCAUCUUUGCUUAAAAUUGUCUGGCAUUUCUCGGAUAUGUAUGAAGAUUUCCUUUGGCACUCAAAGGGUUAAACUAGCAGGGGUAGCAUACUCUGUUAAUACCAACGUGGAAAACUUGUUGGAAAAUGAAGUGAACGGGCGUUGAAUAUAUUUCACGGCACACGAGCUCCUAAAAUAAAUCGACUCGAGUAUUCUGCACUUUACGGUUCUCCGUGCGGUAUUGGACCGGCACGUCGGUUCUUCCGUUAAGAAAAAAGAGAAAAAAAGAAGGUAAAUACCAGCGUCUAGAAAAAAUUCAAAUGGUCGAGCCGACUACUUAGCGAGUACUCUCGACAUAGUGGACACGUGUCUAAAGCGUGGCUAGAACCUUAACCACGUGUCAAUAUCUCAAGGGACUUUUGUUUACGAAAGUCAUAGAGGAGGCGAGACGCGUUAGACAUUUUUAUCGAAGAUCGCCAGGAAGAAGUCGCCGAGUACUUACUUACGCCUACUGUGUACAUUGUACGGGCUAGAGCUAACACUUUUCGCGCGUAAGAAAAAAAAAAAAGUGUAACUAAAAAGACUCCGAAAGAUAAAGCGUCGAAAAACGUGUUCUAUGAACGUUUCACGAUUGCAGGGGUGGUCGCUGGUGUCAUCGAAUUCUGUGUUUACCUACGAACGCGGUCGAAGUAAAAAAGAAACGCGGUCACGUGACCUCUCGAACGCACGCUUGUUGCACGCAGCUGAUAAAAAACCGCGGUAGGCAAAAAUGGAUGCCACCGGUUCUACUCACUUGGUCGUGACGCGCAAGAAACGCACCGAUCCCCGUUAAUUCCUAGGAUUCUCGGCGUCCAACGCGUACGUCGCGACGUUCCCUAUCGAAGAGCUUUUGCGCGCGCAAGCACGCACCCUAGUCGCGUGGGCAGUCCCGAGCGGAGAAACCAGUAAAAGAGACUUCCCUCUCUGUCGUCUCGUUCCUUCUCUACCGCGGAACGAAUCCACGGUUCUCCAUCUCUGUCUGGCAAUCGGUUACCUUGCCGGUAAAAACAGCACGAGGUGGUCGGUGGCGCGAACGAGGGUAGGGGGAUAGGCGUGGUUCCAUUCACGUAGGUGCACUCGGAAGUGAUAGUGUACGUGCGCCCACCUCGCGCUUAUCAAGCUCGGUUAGGCCGAUGCGUACACGAAGAGGGGCGAGUCUUCCCGAACAUCAUCGGCGGUGGGGGUAGUUGGCACGGGUUGAGUAGUGGGGAGAGAAGGGGAGUUAAGGUUCGCACACACGGGUAUCGGUGGGGAUGCCGCCUGCACACGUGUGGUGGAAGAGAGAGAUGGAGCUUGAGAGAGGGGGCGAGGGAGUCGAACACGGCCGAAGGUGAAACCCGCGAGUCGACGUAGCCUCGCAGUCGGCGCGAGACCGCGCUACUGGAAGGGUCGGUGUGUCGUCAUAUAUAUAUAUAUAUAUAUCUAUAUAUAUGUGUGUAUGUACGCAACGCCUCUCUCAGAUUCUCUCUUUCCACCACUCUCGUUCACAGUCGCCGCACUCGAGACAAGCAACAGCGAUCAAACAAAACCAUUUGACCGACAGAGUUUAGAGAUAACGCGAGGAGAGAAGAGACGAAUCGUGGCAGCGUGUCGCGUACCACCCUUCUCUUGUCAGCUUGUACGCAAAUCGGAGUACGAGGGUUGACUCGCACGCGAUCGAACACGAAAACCCACCGAUCGCUGUAGGAUACAUACGGUUCGAUUGUCGUCGGAAUUGUGAUCCGAAGAAACGCACGAUCGGUUUUGGAUACCGACGGGGGACCGAAGAAGUCUGUGAUUCCGAUGUGCCUGGUUGUAUAUUAUUUACGAAACGUAAUUGGAGCGUGUUUGUGCUCGCGAACAGAACUGGGAAGUGCGUGCGCACAAACGUGUGUUCACCGAGCGAAGGAUACGCUUUCCGUGACGAUCGAUCGUCUAGAUCGGAGGGGAAUCUGUAGAUCCUCCGGGUUGUUCGUAGUGCCAUUUCUUCGACAGGAGUAAAUUAAGUCGAUAGACGGAGACGUGUGCCGGUGCUGCUGCCGACAGAUAGGAAAACGAAACGAAUGAUAAGACGCGUAUUGUGUGUGAUAUUCGAUCGCGAUCGAUCAACGGAGGAUUGGUGUUGAUUUGUUGUUUAAUGUUAGCCGUAUUAUUAUCUCUCGGGUUGUGUUGCCGUCCGUGGAAGAAACUCGUUGCGACGGGCCGGAGAUGAUCGCUGGCUGUGAUAACGAACGCUUUUCGUUCGAGUAAGUUUAGUGCCUGCCUCUGUGAUUCGUGACAUUAUUGCCGUCGCUAGUUACCUACAAAGCGCCCGUCGAGCCUUUCUAAGUGUCACACCCUGGAAGGAGUUGAAUUUCGAGAGCAUCGGAUGCGCGGGAGCUUUUAACGACCACCAGGGCUCGGAGCAAUCCAUCUCGAAGGAUCAAACAACACCGGAACACGUUCGAUCCUCGCUGCAAAGCUGUCGACGCCGGACUUCGAUGGUUAUGAAUGGCGCAAGGUGGAUCGAGCCAGGAAACGAGUACGAAGAGGAGCAUCCAUCGGCUCGUUAGACGGUCCCGGCUAAGGGGUUAAUGGAGGCUAGAGCAAGGCUCGUACGCGUUGCGAACGGUACCACCGCGAUCAACGGCGUUCAACUCGCCGGAACCAGAGGGAUGAGGCUGGCCGAAGCAGUUAUAGAAGCGUAGCAAUCGCCACGAAGGAGGUGAAAGAGGACGAGACGGUGGCCGGUGUAUCUGCACCAGGUUGAUUGAGGCUCGUGGGUGGCCCUGGCGUCGACGCUACCCGGUAAUGCCCCCUAAUCACGGCUGGCCAUUCACCAUUACGGUGAAAUGCGAUUUUGAGCGAUACCAGGAGCACCGAGAACGGUGCAAUUGCGCGCUGCUUUGUGUACUCUGCUAUGCGGAUGAGAAAAACAGGAAAUUCGAACGAUGCGUGGAAAAGCAACCAGAACCGUCGUACUUCUACGAAUAAGCUGAAAAAGGUGACAGGUUAGCCAGAAUUGCGUUAAACUUAUGAUGACGUGACGUCAAAAUGACUUUACGCGUUUGAAGUAUCUGCGAAUGUUCUUUCUAGGUUCGACUCGAUGAUACAUGAAGAUGUACCAUUCGUUAUAUAAUUUAUCGGAGGAAAUCUUUUUUUUUUUCAGUUUUUUCGAAACCUUGUAUUAAAAGAUGAACAAUCAUAUAAGUGUAUUAAAAAAUUGAAGAUAUUUCUAAAAACGAUCA